This 245-nucleotide ribosomal RNA is filed under the name uncultured bacterium. RNAcentral's name for it is "partial 16S ribosomal RNA". It matches the Rfam family "Bacterial small subunit ribosomal RNA", at positions 109 to 353 of the family's 1533-position model. The record is from RNAcentral.
AGUAACGCGUGGGUAACCUGCCUCAUACAGGGGGAUAACAGUUAGAAAUGACUGCUAAUACCGCAUAAGCGCACAGUGCUGCAUGGCACAGUGUGAAAAACUCCGGUGGUAUGAGAUGGACCCGCGUCUGAUUAGCUAGUUGGUGGGGUAACGGCCUACCAAGGCGACGAUCAGUAGCCGGCUUGAGAGAGUGAACGGCCACAUUGGGACUGAGACACGGCCCAAACUCCUACGGAGGCAGCAUG